UUCCAGACUCCUACGGGAGGCAGCAGUGAGGAAUAUUGGUCAAUGGGCGGGAGCCUGAACCAGCCAAGUCGCGUGAGGGAAGAAGGUACUGAGUAUUGUAAACCUCUUUUGCCAGGGGACAAAGGCGGCCACGGGUGGCCGUAAGAGGGUACCUGGAGAAAAAGCAUCGGCUAACUCCGUGCCAGCAGCCGCGGUAAUACGGAGGAUGCGAGCGUUAUCCGGAUUUAUUGGGUUUAAAGGGUGCGUAGGCGGGCUUUUAAGUCAGCGGUAAAAAUUCGGGGCUCAACCCCGUCCGGCCGUUGAAACUGGGGGCCUUGAGUGGGCGAGAAGAAGGCGGAAUGCGUGGUGUAGCGGUGAAAUGCAUAGAUAUCACGCAGAACCCCGAUUGCGAAGGCAGCCUUCCGGCGCCCUACUGACGCUGAGGCACGAAAGUGCGGGGAUCGAACAGGAUUAGAUACCCCUGUA
RNAcentral lists this ribosomal RNA (465 nucleotides) under uncultured bacterium. Its description in RNAcentral is "partial 16S ribosomal RNA". It matches the Rfam family "Bacterial small subunit ribosomal RNA", at positions 329 to 792 of the family's 1533-position model. The record is from RNAcentral.